RNAcentral lists this long non-coding RNA (1411 nucleotides) under Acromyrmex echinatior (Panamanian leafcutter ant). Its description in RNAcentral is "uncharacterized LOC105148540, transcript variant X3". The record is from RNAcentral. Lineage: Eukaryota; Metazoa; Arthropoda; Insecta; Hymenoptera; Formicidae.
CCUGUAAUAUCGACCUUGAUCAAGUUCGGCCUUCGCUCCAGCAUCCCCUUAAGGCACCAGCGAAAUAUAACUCACAGAAUAACGGCCCGUAUGCAGUUUAUGUCUAUGACAUGAAUCGUGAAAAAUCAACACACCCCACGAUAAUUUCCAGUAUCACAAUGAAACCAGGUAUUCCGGAUGUAUAGGAAAUCAAGAAAAUAGCAUUCCGAGUUUUAAGAUUGGGAGUCAUACAAGAUGUUCCAAUUGAAAUUGACUUGGAAGCUUGAAUUGGAAGCUGUCCUUAGACACAUUGAAGUUCCUCGUAAUAGUAAAAUUCUGGACAUCCAUAGACUCAACAGGACAACCAAAGACGGCAAAACUGAAUAUAUAUCCUCAAAGACACUGCGUAUAAAAUUUGCAGGCCAGAUUUUGCCGCGUGAAAUAUUCUCGUUUAAGACUAGGCAUGAAGUACGUCCUUUCAUCCCGAAGCCUCGCAUCUGCUUUGCCUGCUAUAGAGUUGGACACAUUGCAAAAGUGUGCAAGAAUUAGCCAAGAUGCCUUUAUUGUGGGAGCAAUAGACACGAAGCGGGAGCCGAGCUCUUGUUCUGGAAGUGUAGAGGAUGAUAAGUGCAUUAACUGCAAAAGUAAUCACCUCGCAACUUCCAAGGAAUGCCUAAUGGUUUUGAAGCAGGAUCAAAUUAUUAACUUGGCUGUCACCGAAAACAUCCCCAUCGCAAAUGCUAGAAGAAUCAUUAAUGAUAAUAGCAGAUAUUCUUCCCAAAGCAGGCCUAGAAUUUAAUAAUUGGAUUUAAAUAGUUUCUCAUAUUUAAGAAGGAAACCUAACUUUAGUUCUCCGGAACUGUCAAGUUUUGAAAGCUCUAACUCUUUCAAUAUUUUAGGUUCGGACGACUAUGGAGGAGAAUACUUAUGCAAAUAUCACCAGUUCGAGUCCAAAAUCGCGCACUGAUUCCGGUAGCGGACUCAACAAGAACCGUUCAUCUCCCUACGCGGGCCCCUUCCAGUCCUUCGCCUUCUCGCAGAAACUCCAGUCAAUAACAUCUUAAUAACGCAGAUUAUGAUAGAAGCACAUCAAAAUGCGCUCUAUGAUUAUCAAAGAGAAUGCAACCAAAAGGACAAAACACUCCAUAGCAGCUGAUUUCUUGUCCAAAACGUCCGGACGCAGGCAGGAUGCUGUCUUCAUCUAUACAGACGGAUCUAAGGAACCGAGCACCGCAGUAGGAGUCGGCGUCUAUUCACCGGACCUGGAUUUCGCCAUUGAGCAUAAACUUCCCAGGAAAACUUCUAUCUUUUCGGCGGAAUUUUGAGUCAUACUUCAAGCCACGCUUCUCGCCAGGGAUUGCGGAAAUAAAAAUAUUGUCAUAUUUUCUGACUCCAAAAGUGCUCUUGACGCAAUAAAUAACAAUAGAUAUAU